GAAUGAACAGGCCGACAACGAGAGAGAAGAAGAAAAGACGAGAGACAAGUGUCAAUGCUGAGACCUCAAAGCAAACAGAGGAGUCCAUUUAAAGAGGAGACGGACGAGUUUGGAGACAACAAGAGGUCGGCACAACAUUUAGAAUCAGCUGCAAAAACAGAGUUUGCAAAUCAAAUCUGAAUAAAUAUAGAUCCAUGAAUAA
Molecule: long non-coding RNA, 202 nt
Organism: Labrus mixtus (cuckoo wrasse)
Lineage: Eukaryota; Metazoa; Chordata; Actinopteri; Labriformes; Labridae
Exons: 2
Source: RefSeq, a predicted model, not a curated record